CAUCUGCCCCAGGGUUUCUUGUGGCCACUUAUAUGGAACCACAGCUGUACAGGUGCUGGAGGUGAUAAGUGCACCUGUACUCUGCUGCAGCCCCAGUCCAGCACCCCGGUGCUACAGCCCUCUGUGCAGGAAGCUAGAGCUCCAAGACACAGCGGAAUAGCAGAAGAGGAUGGAGAAGACAAAGGAAAGUAGAGCAAAGGAAUAAAACAGAGAACGUCCAGGAACCAAGGUCCAGAACGCAACCCAGUGGGACUUUGUUCCCGUAUAAAUGUGACAAGCAUAUUGCAGGAUUCCCUGAUAAAAUCAGGGAUUGCAGCUUUCUUAGAUGCGGUAACCGGAGGCCACUUGACUCCCUGUAGGAAGCCGCAGCCACCUGCCUGGGCUGCGGCUGAUUCCAAUCACAGGCUGCGUAAUUGAAUCCCCGGCUCUUACCUUUCCUUUGUAGCAUCCUCAGUCUGAAUAAACAUUUACAGAUGUGUCUGGGGGUCUGCCGCUCGCUUAGACUUCUCCCUUUUAUCACCUCCAUAUCCUAUUCCUACACUUCAUAACGCAGCAUUGUUGUUUGACAAAACCCCCUCCGAGCCUCCUGUUUAAUUACAUUUCAAUGGCACUUGUGCUAUGUGAGGUGGAAUACGUUCUGCAUAAAAUACCUCUGAAAUGUACAAUGCAAUAAAAUUAUUUC
Pseudophryne corroboree (corroboree frog) is the source of this 682-nucleotide long non-coding RNA. RefSeq lists it as uncharacterized. The record is from RefSeq and is a predicted model, not a curated record. NCBI's taxonomy places the organism in Eukaryota, Metazoa, Chordata, Amphibia, Anura, Myobatrachidae. The transcript is spliced from 3 exons.